Molecule: long non-coding RNA, 557 nt
Organism: Pseudomyrmex gracilis
Lineage: Eukaryota; Metazoa; Arthropoda; Insecta; Hymenoptera; Formicidae
Exons: 3
Source: RefSeq, a predicted model, not a curated record
CGGUCAAAAUCGAAAGUCGCGCGCGAAAAAGAAGCGGGAGCGGAAGAGACUCCUUUCGAGAUCACGGUCUCUUCUGCGAGGAUCUCCGCCGGAUUGUGGAGCAGCUGGGGAAUCAGUUUUCUAUUUUCUUAUUCGAUUUUAAUUGCGAGAAUCGCCGAUACAAGCAAGUGCAUUAAAUGACCGAGUUUUUGCCGGGAGAGAUGCAUCAUCGAGAGGUGUCACGGACGCGAUUUAAUGCAGUCACGAUGUGUACACACAUCGAAAAUCGCUUAACUCUGUGCAACGAGCGCGACGUUUGGAGAACGAGACGAGACGACUGAAUGGAAGAACACGGCGUCUCUUCAAAAUGACAAAAGGGCUCCACAGAAGGGCAAGAAAGGCAGCAAGAGACACGGAGCCGACGGUCACAGGAUGGUCACUAGAUAAUUUCGUUUGGGACGGAAGUCUUCAAGUAAGCCGAAGGACAAUUCCAGCGGACCUUAAUCUUCGGGACCACAUUUCGUAUCGCAUACACAAGAAAAGAGAGAGAGACAGAGUGUGCAGAGAGAUGAAGAAGA